Molecule: ribosomal RNA, 455 nt
Filed under: Pseudomonas aeruginosa
Lineage: Bacteria; Pseudomonadati; Pseudomonadota; Gammaproteobacteria; Pseudomonadales; Pseudomonadaceae
Description: bacterial SSU rRNA
Rfam family: Bacterial small subunit ribosomal RNA
Source: RNAcentral
AUUGAACGCUGGCGGCAGGCCUAACACAUGCAAGUCGAGCGGAUGAAGGGAGCUUGCUCCUGGAUUCAGCGGCGGACGGGUGAGUAAUGCCUAGGAAUCUGCCUGGUAGUGGGGGAUAACGUCCGGAAACGGGCGCUAAUACCGCAUACGUCCUGAGGGAGAAAGUGGGGGAUCUUCGGACCUCACGCUAUCAGAUGAGCCUAGGUCGGAUUAGCUAGUUGGUGGGGUAAAGGCCUACCAAGGCGACGAUCCGUAACUGGUCUGAGAGGAUGAUCAGUCACACUGGAAUUGAGACACGGUCCAGACUCCUACGGGAGGCAGCAGUGGGGAAUAUUGGACAAUGGGCGAAAGCCUGAUCCAGCCAUGCCGCGUGUGUGAAGAAGGUCUUCGGAUUGUAAAGCACUUUAAGUUGGGAGGAAGGGCAGUAAGUUAAUACCUUGCUGUUGGACUUACCA